GUCCCUGUGGAGCAAGGCAGCUCACUUCCCACCUGUUAUACUCGUAGGUAUCUGCUUUAAGUGCGUGAGAGCCGGUGGUUCGAGUCCACCCGGGGACA
Mycena albidolilacea is the source of this 98-nucleotide non-coding RNA. Lineage: Eukaryota; Fungi; Basidiomycota; Agaricomycetes; Agaricales; Mycenaceae. The record is from the annotation of a GenBank genome assembly.